UGGGUUUUUUUUGGUUAUUUUUUUGGUUAGUUUAUUUAUUGAUGCUGGGUUUUUUUUUGUAUUAUUUAAAUUGCCAAUUUAACCAAUGACUUGGGAUUUGUUUUUUUUUUAACCUCAUUAUUUUUACAUUAAGAAAAAUUAUUUGGCCCAUGGCGACGCGUUGGCAACAUAUCUAGUACAAACCUAAAGUAAGAGGAAAUAUUAUGGAUUGUAAC
This 215-nucleotide long non-coding RNA is filed under the name Populus trichocarpa (black cottonwood). RNAcentral describes it as "long non-coding RNA (PTRI_LNC001244)". Lineage: Eukaryota; Viridiplantae; Streptophyta; Magnoliopsida; Malpighiales; Salicaceae. The record is from RNAcentral.